This 253-nucleotide ribosomal RNA is filed under the name uncultured bacterium. RNAcentral describes it as "partial 16S ribosomal RNA". It matches the Rfam family "Bacterial small subunit ribosomal RNA", at positions 524 to 776 of the family's 1533-position model. The record is from RNAcentral.
UACGUAGGGUGCGAGCGUUAAUCGGAGUUACUGGGCGUAAAGCGUGCGCAGGCGGUUUUGUAAGUCUGUCGUGAAAUCCCCGGGCUUAACCUGGGAAUGGCGAUGGAGACUGCAAGGCUAGAGUUUGGCAGAGGGGGGUAGAAUUCCACGUGUAGCAGUGAAAUGCGUAGAGAUGUGGAGGAACACCGAUGGCGAAGGCAGCCCCCUGGGUCAAAACUGACGCUCAUGCACGAAAGCGUGGGGAGCAAACAGG